Molecule: long non-coding RNA, 441 nt
Organism: Polistes canadensis
Lineage: Eukaryota; Metazoa; Arthropoda; Insecta; Hymenoptera; Vespidae
Exons: 2
Source: RefSeq, a predicted model, not a curated record
AUAUAUAUAUAUAUUGAAAAUGAAAUUGAUAUUUUUUACAGGACUGCAGGCAAAAGUUUCAGGGAGGGUCCUUUUUCGAUCACGAAGGAUUACCGUAUUGCGAAACGCAUUAUCAUGCUAAAAGAGGGUCAUUGUGCGCUGGUUGUCAUAAACCAAUAACAGGACGCUGUAUAACUGCCAUGUUCCGAAAAUUCCAUCCAGAGCACUUCGUUUGUGCAUUUUGUUUAAAACAAUUGAAUAAGGGAACAUUCAAGGAACAAAACGAUAAACCAUACUGCCAUGGAUGUUUUGACAAACUUUUUGGAUAAGAUCAUCUUAUAAAUAAAUAAAUAUUGUUAACACAUUCAUUAUUUAUACGGUGAUAAAGUGAAAGGCUGUUUUACUUGAGAUAUUGUCUUGGAAAAAAGAAGAAAAAUAUACAUUUGAGGAAGACAAAAAACA